CGAGAAAAAUUGAAGAUUGGGCCAAAGGCCCACUCCUUAUAUAAAAGAGAUUGUAUUUUGUUGUUUUGGGCCUAAGCCCUUGUCAUUUCAUUUAUUACUAUCUUGUUAGAAUUUAGGAUAGGUGAAAAAUUGGGCCCAAGGCCCAAAGAAAAAUAUUUCUUUACGUUAGUUUAGGACAGGUGCAGGUGACUCAAAUGGGUCUAAGGCCCAAAACGAAAUGGGCCCAAGUAUUGGUCCAGGCGGAC
Molecule: long non-coding RNA, 245 nt
Filed under: Solanum tuberosum (potato)
Lineage: Eukaryota; Viridiplantae; Streptophyta; Magnoliopsida; Solanales; Solanaceae
Description: long non-coding RNA (STUB_LNC003729)
Source: RNAcentral